AUGUUUUCAAGUAUGAAUGAAGUUUUUAGCAACUUUUUUGCUUAUAUUUUAUUUGAAUUAUUUUUUUGAUUAAAAAUUAUUGGUUAGAGUAUUACAAAGAUAAGUCUUCGGAAAUUUUGUUUUGAAUUUUAAAAUUUUUAAUUUUUAAUAUUUUCUUGGGGAUGGAUUUUAUGAAAUUUUUAUACUAUUGUUAUUUUUAAAAAUUACUCCGGAGUUAACAGGGUUGUAGACAUAUAAAUAGGUUUUUAUAUUAGUGUGCUGCGCUACAUCGAUGUUGUAUAUUUUUUUUUGAAAUGGAGAGAAUUUUUUUGUUUUGAGACUGUUCUUCUUGUAUAAAAAAUUGACUUGAUAUUAGUUUAGUUCGUCGUGAGACAGAGCGGUUUAUCU
RNAcentral lists this ribosomal RNA (387 nucleotides) under Onchocerca flexuosa. RNAcentral describes it as "partial large subunit ribosomal RNA". The record is from RNAcentral. Lineage: Eukaryota; Metazoa; Nematoda; Chromadorea; Rhabditida; Onchocercidae.